Molecule: ribosomal RNA, 194 nt
Filed under: uncultured Bacillus sp.
Lineage: Bacteria; Bacillati; Bacillota; Bacilli; Caryophanales; Bacillaceae
Description: partial 16S ribosomal RNA
Rfam family: Bacterial small subunit ribosomal RNA
Source: RNAcentral
CCUACGGGAGGCAGCAGUAGGGAAUCUUCCGCAAUGGACGAAAGUCUGACGGAGCAACGCCGCGUGAGCGAUGAAGGCCUUCGGGUCGUAAAGCUCUGUUGUCAGGGAAGAACAAGUACCGGAGUAACUGCCGGUACCUUGACGGUACCUGACCAGAAAGCCACGGCUAACAACGUGCCAGCAGCCGCGGUAAU